CCGCCCGCGGGCCAAAACAAAUUUCACACUUAAUGUCUGGCUGUGUUUAUGAAUAAUUAUAGGCUCAAUAUAGACACCCAAUAUGCCAUAUUAAAGCUUAGAAUCUCUGCUUUCUUAGUUAUUUAGCAUAUUUAGCUGUAUUUCCUUUCAGAAAAUAAAAAAAAUCAGUUAAUUAUUAAUUAGUUGCUAGAUAUAUGCAUUUUCAAUCACUUUCUUUUUUGUCAACAGUUGCAGUACUGACAUUCAUUGUUUGCUGAUCUUGACGUUCCAAGUGAACAAGAAAGAGAGAGAACUACAGUGCUUGGUUCCCUGUUAUUGCCUGGUAGGGGUGACCCGAGGCCUUGCUACCAGGUUACAAGUUUACCUGGUUUUGAAGAUCUCUCUUUUUCUUUAUUCCCAAUCCCCCUUUUCUAUCAUCUCUUUUUUCGUCCAAUCCCCUUUCUAUCCACUUGCACCUGCAAGUACAACGAUAAAGGGCAUUCAGUUGAACCCCUGAAAACGGAACUCUUGAAAACCCCCUGAAAACGAAACUCUUGAAAAAUAACCCCUUGAAAUCUAAACUCUUGAAAAGGAAGGGCAUUCAGUUGACCCCUAAACAACGGUUUGAAAAGGGCAUUCAGUUGACCCCUAAACAACGGUUUGAAAAGGGCAUUCAGUUGACCCCUAAACAACGGUUUGAAAAGGGCAUUCAGUUGACCCCUGGAAACGGAAAUCUUGAAAAAAGAUCCCCUUGGCAAACUUGUUUCCCUCAUUUAACCCUGUAUAGUGUUUCCUUGUGAUUGGUUUCAGGUCAGACAAUUCUCUAAAGAAGCAAACUCUUCACCCGAAGACAGUCAUCACAUUGACCGCGGCAUCUGGAGCUGAAGACACACACAUUCACAUUAUCGACUGAAGCUGCAGUUACCUGUCAUUUCUUAUAGCAGUAUAUUGUGAUUUAAAAACAUACAGCUUCUUACAGUGUGUACAUACCACAUUUAAUACAUUUGGUAAAAAAUACAGUCUAUUAAAAUAUUUGUUGCUGAACCUUUUUACACAUUAAAUACGUAAUUAUUUCAUAAAAAGUUAUUUCUUUUAGCAGUUGUCUUUUGUAAGCUUGUUUCCUACAGAGGUAUAAUCACAUUUUUGGGUUGUGAGUGUGUUUUAAGGAGAUACAAUUGCAUCUAGAUACUGGAUUGUAGUAUAUAAGAAAGCUGUUUGAGUGUACAAUUUAAGGGGAAAAUUACGUUUUGAGAAGUUAUUAAUAAAAAAAUAAUUUUUACAUAUA
Astyanax mexicanus (Mexican tetra) is the source of this 1264-nucleotide long non-coding RNA. RefSeq lists it as uncharacterized. The transcript has 5 exons. The record is from RefSeq and is a predicted model, not a curated record. Lineage: Eukaryota; Metazoa; Chordata; Actinopteri; Characiformes; Acestrorhamphidae.